Thermoproteus tenax Kra 1 is the source of this 24-nucleotide non-coding RNA. Lineage: Archaea; Thermoproteati; Thermoproteota; Thermoprotei; Thermoproteales; Thermoproteaceae. The record is from Rfam.
CUUUCAAUCCUCUUUUUGAGAUUC